GACGGGACCGCACAAGCGGUGGAUGAUGUGGUUAAUUCGAUGCAACGCGAAAACCUUACCACCUUUGACAUGUACGGAAUCCUUUAGAGAUAGAGGAGUGCUCGAAAGAGAGCCGUAACACAGGUGCUGCAUGGCUGUCGUCAGCUCGUGUCGUGAGAUGUUGGGUUAAGUCCCGCAACGAGCGCAACCCUUGUCAUUAGUUGCUACAUUCAGUUGGGCACUCUAAUGAGACUGCCGGUGACAAACCGGAGGAAGGUGGGGAUGACGUCAAGUCCUCAUGGCCCUUAUAGGUGGGGCUACACACGUCAUACAAUGGAUGGUACAAAGGGUCGCCAACCCGCGAGGGGGAGCCAAUCCCAUAAAGCCAGUCGUAGUCCGGAUCGUAGUCUGCAACUCGACUACGUGAAGUCGGAAUCGCUAGUAAUCGUGGAUCAGAAUGUCACGGUGAAUACGUUCCCGGGUCUUGU
Molecule: ribosomal RNA, 467 nt
Filed under: uncultured Acidovorax sp.
Lineage: Bacteria; Pseudomonadati; Pseudomonadota; Betaproteobacteria; Burkholderiales; Comamonadaceae
Description: bacterial SSU rRNA
Rfam family: Bacterial small subunit ribosomal RNA
Source: RNAcentral